RNAcentral lists this ribosomal RNA (399 nucleotides) under uncultured bacterium. RNAcentral's name for it is "bacterial SSU rRNA". It matches the Rfam family "Bacterial small subunit ribosomal RNA", at positions 30 to 431 of the family's 1533-position model. The record is from RNAcentral.
AUUGAACGCUGGCGGCAUGCCUUACACAUGCAAGUCGAACGGCAGCACGGGAGCAAUCCUGGUGGCGAGUGGCGAACGGGUGAGUAAUAUAUCGGAACGUGCCCAGUCGUGGGGGAUAACGUAGCGAAAGCUACGCUAAUACCGCAUACGAUCUAUGGAUGAAAGCGGGGGAUCGCAAGACCUCGCGCGAUUGGAGCGGCCGAUAUCAGAUUAGGUAGUUGGUGAGGUAAAGGCUCACCAAGCCGACGAUCUGUAGCUGGUCUGAGAGGACGACCAGCCACACUGGGACUGAGACACGGCCCAGACUCCUACGGGAGGCAGCAGUGGGGAAUUUUGGGACAAUGGGCGCAAGCCUGAUCCAGCAAUGCCGCGUGCAGGAUGAAGGCCUCGGUUGUAACU